RNAcentral lists this ribosomal RNA (1471 nucleotides) under 'Digera muricata' phytoplasma. Its description in RNAcentral is "bacterial SSU rRNA". It matches the Rfam family "Bacterial small subunit ribosomal RNA". The record is from RNAcentral. Lineage: Bacteria; Bacillati; Mycoplasmatota; Mollicutes; Acholeplasmatales; Acholeplasmataceae.
GUCGAACGGAAACCUUCGGGUUUUAGUGGCGAACGGGUGAGUAACACGUAAGCAACCUACCCUAAAGACGAGGAUAACCAUUGGAAACAGUGGCUAAGACUGGAUAGGAAGAUAAAAGGCAUCUUGUAUCUUUUAAAAGACCUAGUUAAUAGGUAUGCUUUAGGAGGGGCUUGCGCCAUAUUAGUUAGUUGGUAGGGUAAUGGCCUACCAAGACGAUGAUGUGUAGCUGGACUGAGAGGUUGAACAGCCACAUUGGGACUGAGACACGGCCCAAACUCCUACGGGAGGCAGCAGUAGGGAAUUUUCGGCAAUGGAGGAAACUCUGACCGAGCAACGCCGCGUGAAUGACGAAGUACUUCGGUAUGUAAAGUUCUUUUAUCGAGGAAGAAAAGCAAAUGGCGAACCAUUUGUUUGCCGGUACUUGAUGAAUAAGCCCCGGCUAAUUAUGUGCCAGCAGCCGCGGUAAGACAUAAGGGGCAAGUGUUAUCCGGAAUUAUUGGGCGUAAAGGGUGCGUAGGCGGUCUAGUAAGUCAGUGGUGUAAUGGCAACGCUUAACGUUGUCCGGCUAUUGAAACUGCUAAACUUGAGUUAGAUAGAGGCGAGUGGAAUUCCAUGUGUAGCGGUAAAAUGCGUAAAUAUAUGGAGGAACACCAGAGGCGUAGGCGGCUCGCUGGGUCUUAACUGACGCUGAGGCACGAAAGCGUGGGGAGCAAACAGGAUUAGAUACCCUGGUAGUCCACGCCGUAAACGAUGAGUACUAAGUGUCGGGUUAAACCGGUACUGAAGUUAACACAUUAAGUACUCCGCCUGAGUAGUACGUACGCAAGUAUGAAACUUAAAGGAAUUGACGGGACUCCGCACAAGCGGUGGAUCAUGUUGUUUAAUUCGAAGAUACCCGAAAAACCUUACCAGGUCUUGACAUGUUUUUGCAAAAUGAUAGUAAUAUCGUGGAGGUUACCAGAAACACAGGUGGUGCAUGGUUGUCGUCAGCUCGUGUCGUGAGAUGUUAGGUUAAGUCCUAAAACGAGCGAAACCCUUAUCGUUAGUUGCCAGCACGUUAUGGUGGGGACUUUAACGAGACUGCCAAUGAUAAAUUGGAGGAAGGUGAGGAUCACGUCAAAUCAGCAUGCCCCUUAUGACCUGGGCUACAAACGUGAUACAAUGGCUGUUACAAAGGGUAGCUGAAACGCAAGUUCUUGGCCAAUCCCCAAAAACAGUCCCAGUCCGGAUUGAAGUCUGCAACUCGACUUCAUGAAGUUGGAAUCGCUAGUAAUCGCGAAUCAGCAUGUCGCGGUGAAUACGUUCUCGGGGUUUGUACACACCGCCCGUCAAACCACGAAAGUUGGCAAUACCCCAAAACGGUAGCCUAACUCGUUUAUUCGAGAGGGCGCCGUCUAAGGUAGGGUCGAUGAUUGGGGUUAAGUCGUAACAAGGUAUCCCUACCGGAAGGUGGGGAUGGAUCACCUCCUUU